This 530-nucleotide ribosomal RNA is filed under the name Staphylococcus epidermidis. Its description in RNAcentral is "bacterial SSU rRNA". The record is from RNAcentral. Lineage: Bacteria; Bacillati; Bacillota; Bacilli; Caryophanales; Staphylococcaceae.
AGUGAAACUCAAAGGAAUUGACGGGGACCCCGCACAAGCGGUGGAGCAUGUGGUUUAAUUCGAAGCAACGCGAAGAACCUUACCAAAUCUUGACAUCCUCUGACCCCUCUAGAGAUAGAGUUUUCCCCUUCGGGGGACAGAGUGACAGGUGGUGCAUGGUUGUCGUCAGCUCGUGUCGUGAGAUGUUGGGUUAAGUCCCGCAACGAGCGCAACCCUUAAGCUUAGUUGCCAUCAUUAAGUUGGGCACUCUAAGUUGACUGCCGGUGACAAACCGGAGGAAGGUGGGGAUGACGUCAAAUCAUCAUGCCCCUUAUGAUUUGGGCUACACACGUGCUACAAUGGACAAUACAAAGGGYAGCGAAACCGCGAGGUCAAGCAAAUCCCAUAAAGUUGUUCUCAGUUCGGAUUGUAGUCUGCAACUCGACUAUAUGAAGCUGGAAUCGCUAGUAAUCGUAGAUCAGCAUGCUACGGUGAAUACGUUCCCGGGUCUUGUACACACCGCCCGUCACACCACGAGAGUUUGUAACACC